This 964-nucleotide ribosomal RNA is filed under the name Diopatra cf. ornata JZ-2010. RNAcentral describes it as "partial 16S ribosomal RNA". It matches the Rfam family "Bacterial large subunit ribosomal RNA", at positions 696 to 2604 of the family's 2925-position model. The record is from RNAcentral. Lineage: Eukaryota; Metazoa; Annelida; Polychaeta; Eunicida; Onuphidae.
AUUAUAAUAAAUUUUAACCCCGAAAUAUAGUGAGCUGCCUUAUUCUUGUUAAGAACCCAUUUUUUAGUGUAGCAAUACUUAUAAAAAAGUUUAAAGCAGAGGCUACAUACCUUCCGCACUAUAUAAUAGCUGGUUUCCCCAAAUCCCAGUCUAAGCUGAACUAAUUGUAAACUAAAAUUAAUUCUAUACAAUUGUUUAAAUCAAUUGAGGACAAGCUCAAUUGCCUUUAUUAUUCUAAGCAAAAUCCUUAUUCAUAGUAGGCUCAAAAUCAGCCAUCAAUUAAUUCGUUAUAGUUAUAUAUAAAUAAUUAUAAAAAACCAAUAACUUUUCAAGGGAUAAAUAUAUUAACCAAAAUAUCUUCAACCUAUGUAUAAAUCAGUAUUUAUUCUCAAAACCCUUAAAUUCCUAAAAUAAGUAGAUAAGGAACUAGGCAAAACUGACUUCGCCUGUUUACCAAAAACAUCGCCUAUUGAUUAUUCAAUAAUAGGUAAGCCCUGCCCAGUGAUAUAUUCAACGGCCGCGGUAUCCUGACCGUGCAAAGGUAGCAUAAUCAUUUGCCUCUUAAUUAGAGGCUAGUAUGAAUGGGUAGACGAAAGUCAAGCUGUCUCAUCUACUACUUUAUAAAUUAAUCCUCAGGUGAAGAAGCCUGAAUCUUAUUAAAAGACAAGAAGACCCUGUCGAGCUUAAUCCUUCUCUUAAAAAUUAUUUUAUAUACUCUUUAACCUAAGAUUUUGUUGGGGCGACAAAGGAACAAUUUAUCUUCCUUCCUAAAAAUAGAUUUCAUAUCCUUCCAUUUGACCCAUUUUAUGAUCAUAGAAAAAAGCUACCGCAGGGAUAACAGGCUAAUCUUCCUCAAGAGCCCAAAUCUAAAGGAAGGCUUGGCACCUCGAUGUUGGCUUAGGAUCUCUUCUAAAUGCAACAGUUUAAAAAGAAGGUUUGUUCAACCUUUAAUUUCCUACGUGAU